GCCCAGGAUAUUCUGUGAUGUCAGCGUAAGGAGGCUAAGCACAUUCCUUCUGAGAUAAGGGAAGAAGAGAAAACUUGCCUGUCUAGUGUAGUAGCAACUACUAAGUACAUCUUGUCCUUGUUUCUUGGGAUUUAUAUUUGGGGGUUUAAGUCGUCUAUUUUUGGUUUUUAAACAGAAGAUGGUCCAACUCCUGUAUGUUUAUAUAGAAAAUUCUACUGGAGGUGAUCCCAGUGCUAAUUGUUAACCAAUGAAUGUCACAAUAGCAUAGGCAAGAGCUCUCUGGACAGCAGGAGAAACAUGGAAACACAGAUACUUACAUGAAAUAGGCAGUGUGUUGGAAGCAUUACUGUCACCUCGUGUAUCUUCCCUUCAGUUAAAUCAGAAGGACAUAUCUGGCCAUUAAAACGUAACAUCUAAAAAAAUGGUGCAAACUGCUUGUGAAGUUCCAUGUGAAACAACUUCAGUUAAAGGUAUUUCUGAGCUUUUUUUCUUCUAUUGUACACCCUAAGCCCUUACCCUCAAUCAGAACAUGAUUGUAAAUUAAAUGUAUUCAUAGACGCUGCGAGACAAGACAAUGCAAGACGACAAUGAAGUCAGAAUAAUCUUGUGUGCAUAUGGAGAAUAACUUGUUCCACUGCUGUUGCCUCCUUUCACGGCAAACGUGUGGCAGAACUGCCUUUUCAAAAGUGGAUCAAAGAAUGCUACCAAUACAUUCUUCUCAUCUCCCAUUUAUCCUUCCAUGUCUGUCAUACAAACCAUUUAUUUUUAGGCUCCAAGGAAAGCAGAGAAAUUAAAUUUUCUGCCAACUUCAUUUCAAUGCCAUCUUCCUUUGUUUCUGAUUAAUUGGUGCACAGUGUGAUGUUCUUAAAUAAGCUGUUAUCUAACACAGUGGAAGUGAUGGAGAGGCAAGGGGAUCCCUGACAGUGACAUUACAGCUGCUACCUUAUAGGAGUGCUGUGGCUUUUCAUAUGUGAUUUGUGGUCUUCAGC
RNAcentral lists this long non-coding RNA (989 nucleotides) under Cyanistes caeruleus (blue tit). Its description in RNAcentral is "lncRNA (ENSCCEG00000014149.1)". Lineage: Eukaryota; Metazoa; Chordata; Aves; Passeriformes; Paridae. The record is from RNAcentral.